Molecule: transfer RNA, 72 nt
Filed under: candidate division WWE3 bacterium RIFCSPLOWO2_12_FULL_36_10
Lineage: Bacteria; candidate division WWE3
Description: tRNA-Lys
Source: RNAcentral
GGGCUGGGCACUGGUGUGCAACGUGUUCUUGACAAACCCGUGUUGCGGGUUCAAUUCCCGUCCGGUCCACCA